UACGAAGGGGGGCUAGCGUUGUUCGGAAUCACUGGGCGUAAAGCGCGUGUAGGCGGCAGGGCAUGUCGGAUGUGAAAUCCCGUGGCUCAACCACGGAAGUGCACCCGAAACUGCCCAGCUUGAGUCUCGGAGAGGAAGGCGGAAUGCUUGGUGUAGAGGUGAAAUUCGUAGAUAUCGAGAGGAACACCGGUGGCGAAAGGCGGCCAACUGGACGAAAUACUG
RNAcentral lists this ribosomal RNA (222 nucleotides) under uncultured bacterium. RNAcentral's name for it is "partial 16S ribosomal RNA". It matches the Rfam family "Bacterial small subunit ribosomal RNA", at positions 524 to 742 of the family's 1533-position model. The record is from RNAcentral.